Molecule: ribosomal RNA, 377 nt
Filed under: uncultured eukaryote
Lineage: Eukaryota
Description: SSU rRNA
Rfam family: Eukaryotic small subunit ribosomal RNA
Source: RNAcentral
AGUUUCAAUAGCGUAUAUUAAAGUUGGUCAGGUUAAACAGCUCGUAGUUGGAUUCUUGCCCGGGGCGAGCGGACCGCCGUCUGGGUGAGCAUGUGGCUGGGCCUUCACAUCUUCUUUGUGAACGUAGUUGCACUUGAUCGCGUGAUGCGGCGCCCAGGGCUUUUAUUCUGAGGAAUUUAGAGCGUUUCAAGCAGGCAUGCGCCUUGAUUAUAUCAGCAGGGCAUAGUAGGAUGUGACCUCGGUUCUAUGUUGUUGGUUUCCGGAGUUGGUGUAAUGAUUGAUAUGGAUAGAUGGGAGCAUUCGUGUUAAUUGUCAGAGGUGAAGUCAUUGGAUUUGUUAAAGGUGGUCUAUUGCGAAAGCAUUUGCCAAGGAUGUUU